Molecule: ribosomal RNA, 427 nt
Filed under: uncultured bacterium
Lineage: Bacteria
Description: partial 16S ribosomal RNA
Rfam family: Bacterial small subunit ribosomal RNA
Source: RNAcentral
UGGGGAAUAUUGCACAAUGGGCGCACGCCUGAUGCAGCCAUGCCGCGUGUAUGAAGAAGGCCUUCGGGUUGUAAAGUACUUUCAGCGGGGAGGAAGGCGAUAAGGUUAAUAACCUUGUCGAUUGACGUUACCCGCAGAAGAAGCACCGGCUAACUCCGUGCCAGCAGCCGCGGUAAUACGGAGGGUGCAAGCGUUAAUCGGAAUUACUGGGCGUAAAGCGCACGCAGGCGGUCUGUCAAGUCUGAUGUGAAAUCCCCGGGCUCAACCUGGGAACUGCAUUCGAAACUGGCAGGCUAGAGUCUUGUAGUGGGGGGUAGAAUUCCAGGUGUAGCGGUGAAAUGCGUAGAGAUCUGGAGGAAUACCGGUGGCGAAGGCGGCCCCCUGGACAAAGACUGACGCUCAGGUGCGAAAGCGUGGGGAGCAAACA